RNAcentral lists this ribosomal RNA (253 nucleotides) under uncultured bacterium. RNAcentral's name for it is "partial 16S ribosomal RNA". It matches the Rfam family "Bacterial small subunit ribosomal RNA", at positions 524 to 776 of the family's 1533-position model. The record is from RNAcentral.
UACGUAGGGUGCGAGCGUUAAUCGGAAUUACUGGGCGUAAAGCGUGCGCAGGCGGUCUGUUAAGACCGAUGUGAAAUCCCCGGGCUCAACCUGGGAACUGCAUUGGAAACUAACGGGCUCGAGUGUGGCAGAGGGGGGUGGAAUUCCACGUGUAGCAGUGAAAUGCGUAGAGAUGUGGAGGAACACCGAUGGCGAAGGCAGCCCCCUGGGCUAACACUGACGCUCAGGCACGAAAGCGUGGGGAGCAAACAGG